This 476-nucleotide ribosomal RNA is filed under the name uncultured bacterium. Its description in RNAcentral is "bacterial SSU rRNA". It matches the Rfam family "Bacterial small subunit ribosomal RNA", at positions 32 to 518 of the family's 1533-position model. The record is from RNAcentral.
AACGCUGGCGGCGUGCUUAACGACAUGCAAGUCGAACGGAAAGGCCCUGCUUUGUGGGGUGCUCGAGUGGCGAACGGGUGAGUAACACGUGAGUAACCUGCCCUUGACUUUGGGAUAACUUCAGGAAACUGGGGCUAAUACCGGAUAGGAGCUCCUGCUGCAUGGUGGGGGUUGGAAAGUUUCGGCGGUUGGGGAUGGACUCGCGGCUUAUCAGCUUGUUGGUGGGGUAGUGGCUUACCAAGGCUUUGACGGGUAGCCGGCCUGAGAGGGUGACCGGCCACAUUGGGACUGAGAUACGGCCCAGACUCCUACGGGAGGCAGCAGUGGGGAAUAUUGCACAAUGGGCGGAAGCCUGAUGCCAGCAACGCCGCGUGCGGGAUGACGGCCUUCGGGUUGUAAACCGCUUCCGCCUGUGACGAAGCGUGAGUGACGGUAAUGGGUAAAGAAGCACCGGCUAACUACGUGCCAGCCGCCGC